This 2240-nucleotide ribosomal RNA is filed under the name Planktomarina sp. RNAcentral's name for it is "partial 23S ribosomal RNA". It matches the Rfam family "Bacterial large subunit ribosomal RNA", at positions 611 to 2925 of the family's 2925-position model. The record is from RNAcentral. Lineage: Bacteria; Pseudomonadati; Pseudomonadota; Alphaproteobacteria; Rhodobacterales; Paracoccaceae.
UAUAAUGGGUCAUCGACUUAGUGUAUCUAGCAAGCUUAAGCCGUUAGGUGUAGGCGCAGCGAAAGCGAGUCUUAAUAGGGCGAAUGAGUUAGAUGCAUUAGACCCGAAACCGAGUGAUCUAGGCAUGACCAGGUUGAAGGUACGGUAACACGUACUGGAGGACCGAACCCACAUCUGUUGAAAAAGAUCGGGAUGAGUUGUGCCUAGGGGUGAAAGGCCAAUCAAACUCGGAGAUAGCUGGUUCUCCGCGAAAUCUAUUUAGGUAGAGCGUCAUCCGAAUACCCCGGGGGGUAGAGCACUGGAUGGGUAAUGGGGGCAUACAGCCUUACUGAUCCUAACCAAACUCCGAAUACCCGGGAGUAAUAGAUGGCAGACACACUGCGGGUGCUAACGCCCGUAGUGAAAAGGGAAACAACCCUGACCGACAGUUAAGGCCCCUAAUUCAUGGCUAAGUGGGAAAGCAGGUGGGACGACCAAAACAACCAGGAAGUUGGCUUAGAAGCAGCCAUCUUUUAAAGAUAGCGUAACAGCUCACUGGUCUAAAUAAGUUGUCCUGCGGCGAAGAUGUAACGGGGCUCAAGCCAUGAGCCGAAACUUCGGAUGCAUUUUUAAUGCAUGGUAGCGGAGCGUAGUGUGACAUAGUUCCAUGCGUCCUUAACUUCCUUUUGGGAGUAUUGGACGCAAGGAGCUUUCAGUGAAGCCGGCCUGUGAGGGAUCCGGUGGAGAGAUCACUAGUGAGAAUGAUGACAUGAGUAACGACAAAGGGGGUGAGAGACCCCCUCGCCGAAAAUCCAAGGGUUCCUGCUUAAAGCUAAUCUGAGCAGGGUAAGCCGGCCCCUAAGCCGAGGGCGAAAGCCGUAGGCGAUGGGAACCAGGUUAAUAUUCCUGGGCCAGGAGGAAGUGACGGAUCAUGAAGAUUGUUGGAUCAGGCGUAGUUGCCCCAGCAGUUAAUUGGUUCCUGGAAAUAGCCCUCCAUCAGACCGUACCCUAAACCGACACAGGUGGAUAGGUAGAGUAUACCAAGGCGCUUGAGAGAACUAUGUUGAAGGAACUCGGCAAAAUACCUCCGUAAGUUCGCGAGAAGGAGGCCCGGUUUCUAGGCAACUGGAAGCUGGGGGCACAAACCAGGGGGUGGCGACUGUUUACUAAAAACACAGGGCUCUGCGAAGUCGUAAGACGACGUAUAGGGUCUGACGCCUGCCCGGUGCCUGAAGGUUAAAAGGAGGGGUGAGAGCUCCGAAUUGAAGCCCAGGUAAACGGCGGCCGUAACUAUAACGGUCCUAAGGUAGCGAAAUUCCUUGUCGGGUAAGUUCCGACCUGCACGAAUGGCGUAACGACUUCCCCGCUGUCUCCAACAUAGACUCAGUGAAAUUGAAUUGCCUGUCAAGAUGCAGGCUUCCCGCGGUUAGACGGAAAGACCCCGUGCACCUUUACUACAACUUUACACUGAUAACAGGCACAACAUGUGCAGAAUAGGUGGUAGGCUUUGAAGCGGAGACGCUAGUCUUUGUGGAGCCUCCUUUGAGAUACCACCCUUGUUUUUCUUGUUAUCUAACUGCGGUCCGUUAUCCGGAUCCAGGACCCUGUAUGGUGGGUAGUUUGACUGGGGCGGUCGCCUCCUAAAGCGUAACGGAGGCGCGCGAAGGUUGGCUCAGAGCGGUCGGAAAUCGCUCGUUGAGUGCAAUGGCAGAAGCCAGCCUGACUGCAAGACUGACAAGUCGAGCAGAGUCGAAAGACGGCCAUAGUGAUCCGGUGGUCCCGAGUGGAAGGGCCAUCGCUCAACGGAUAAAAGGUACGCCGGGGAUAACAGGCUGAUGGUGCCCAAGAGUCCAUAUCGACGGCACCGUUUGGCACCUCGAUGUCGGCUCAUCUCAUCCUGGGGCUGGAGCAGGUCCCAAGGGUACGGCUGUUCGCCGUUUAAAGAGGUACGUGAGCUGGGUUUAGAACGUCGUGAGACAGUUCGGUCCCUAUCUGCCGUGGGUGUAGGAUACUUGAGAGGAGUUGCCCCUAGUACGAGAGGACCGGGGUGAACGAUCCACUGGUGGACCAGUUGUCGACUACGGCAGUGCUGGGUAGCUACGAUCGGACAGGAUAACCGCUGAAAGCAUCUAAGCGGGAAGCCCCCCUCAAAACAAGGUAUCCCUGAGGACCGAGGUAGACCACCUCGUCGAUAGGCCAGAGGUGUAAGCGUGGCAACACGUUCAGCUGACUGGUACUAAUGGUCCGAUAGGCUUGAUUUG